This 73-nucleotide transfer RNA is filed under the name Stegodyphus mimosarum. It matches the Rfam family "tRNA". Rfam says of the family: Transfer RNA (tRNA) molecules are approximately 80 nucleotides in length. Their secondary structure includes four short double-helical elements and three loops (D, anti-codon, and T loops). Further hydrogen bonds mediate the characteristic L-shaped molecular structure. tRNAs have two regions of fundamental functional importance: the anti-codon, which is responsible for specific mRNA codon recognition, and the 3' end, to which the tRNAs corresponding amino acid is attached (by aminoacyl-tRNA synthetases). tRNAs cope with the degeneracy of the genetic code in two manners: having more than one tRNA (with a specific anti-codon) for a particular amino acid; and 'wobble' base-pairing, i.e. permitting non-standard base-pairing at the 3rd anti-codon position. The record is from Rfam by way of RNAcentral. Lineage: Eukaryota; Metazoa; Arthropoda; Arachnida; Araneae; Eresidae.
GCUUUCGUUGUGUAGUGGUCAGCACGCUCGACGUGUAUUCGAGAGGUCCAUGGUUCGAGUCCCGGUGAGGGCA